Long non-coding RNA from Esox lucius (northern pike), 921 nucleotides. RefSeq lists it as uncharacterized. Lineage: Eukaryota; Metazoa; Chordata; Actinopteri; Esociformes; Esocidae. The record is from RefSeq and is a predicted model, not a curated record. The transcript is spliced from 5 exons.
CUUAGCAAGGGGGUCAACUCCGCCAUUUCUCUUAGCUUAAAGCUUCUCCCCGUUCCUUAGUAAAAGUUGGUCUUAUCAGGUUCUCAGGAGCAGUGGAUGUGCCCAAGGUAGAAGCAAGAUCUGACUUACAAAGUCUAAAUUACAACGUAUGCUUGUUGCUCUGCUCUCUGAUGUCAUGCAGCAGCUGCAGGGCCUUGUCAUCCUCCUGAGAGACCUCCACACGGGCGGCCUCCAGGCUGCGCUUCAAGCUCUGUUAGGACACACCAAACACACAUUGUGGCCAGGUCCUGCUCCAGGAUGGUCCUCUGGGUCUCGGAGGCUUUGAGCUCCACAUCCUUUUGGUGCAGAACUGACUCCAGGUCAGUCAUCUUGCGCUGAAACCUAGAGAUCUCCUGCUCCAUCUAGGAAAAAUCAGGAGCAGUUUUCCUGGAGGGCGUAACGAGAGAGAUACAGUUCAUCCCUCAUCAUUACAAUACACCCCUGGGAGACGGAGCAGCCAACACACAGGACGGCCAUCACACUGAGCAGACAGAUUGAUAGCCAGCACUGGCUGAUUCAUCCAAGCUAGCCAGGACUGACGGCUGGGCAUAGUCUUUGUGGUUAUAUGUUACCGUUGGUAAGCUACAGGAGCUCCCAUCUGCUCCCAGCCUGCUAAACAAAUGACAAUUUGCAUAUUGCCUGUAUUGUUCUGCAUUUUCCCCCUGUUGGGCUUAACGAGCAAAUUAAUUUACUGCAAGCCAUCAACUAAAUGCUGCAUAUGAAACACAAUCCGCUUCUGUGUCUGGUUUGAGCUGCUGUUGUGAUUCAGGCAGAGGCUAAAAAAUAAAACCAACAGCACCGUGGGAGAAAAGAAAGAUGUGGGUGGGGACAAAUAACAUCCUGGUUUCCAUAGAAAUAAAUUCUCUUCUCCAAUCUACAUCC